RNAcentral lists this ribosomal RNA (757 nucleotides) under uncultured bacterium. Its description in RNAcentral is "bacterial SSU rRNA". It matches the Rfam family "Bacterial small subunit ribosomal RNA", at positions 336 to 1079 of the family's 1533-position model. The record is from RNAcentral.
CUCCUACGGGAGGCAGCAGUGGGGAAUUUUGCGCAAUGGACGAAAGUCUGACGCAGCAACGCCGCGUGGAGGAUGAAGGUCUUCGGAUUGUAAACUUCUGUUAAUUGGAAAGAAAAGGCAAGAAUUAAUACCUCUUGCAUAUGACGUUACCGGUUUAGAAAGCCCCGGCUAACUUCGUGCCAGCAGCCGCGGUAAUACGAAGGGGGCGAGCGUUAUUCGGAUUCAUUGGGCGUAAAGGGCGCGUAGGCGGCGCAAUAAGUUUGUUGUUUAAUUUUCCGGCCUAACCGGAAGCAUGCGACAAAGACUGUUGUGCUAGAGUGUGAUAGAGAAAAGUGGAAUUCUCGGAGUAGCGGUAAAAUGCGUAGAUCUCGAGAGGAACGCCAAUGGCGAAGGCAGCUUUUUGGAUCAAUACUGACGCUGAUGCGCGAAGGCAUGGGGAGCAAACAGGAUUAGAUACCCUGGUAGUCCAUGCAGUAAACGAUGGCCAUUAGACGUCUGGAAAAUUGUUUCUGGGUGUCGCAGCUAACGCGUUAAAUGGCCCGCCUGAGUAGUACGAUCGCAAGAUUAAAACUUAAAGAAAUUGACGGGGGUCCGCACAAGCGGUGGAACAUGUGGUUUAAUUCGAUACUACGCGAGGAACCUUACCUAGAUUUGACAUGUAUAUGGCAUCCAUGGAAACAUGGCCUUCAUAGGGAAACCUAUGACAUAUACACAGGUGUUGCAUGGCUGUCGUCAGCUCGUGUCGUGAGAUGUUAGG